This 429-nucleotide ribosomal RNA is filed under the name uncultured bacterium. RNAcentral's name for it is "bacterial SSU rRNA". It matches the Rfam family "Bacterial small subunit ribosomal RNA", at positions 355 to 776 of the family's 1533-position model. The record is from RNAcentral.
UGGGGAAUAUUGGACAAUGGGGGCAACCCUGAUCCAGCAAUACCGCGUGUGUGAAGAAGGCCUUCGGGUUGUAAAGCACUUUAGGUUGGGAAGAAGGCAUGUAUUUUAAGAGAUAACAUGUUUGACUGUACCGACAGAAUAAGCACCGGCUAACUCUGUGCCAGCAGCCGCGGUAAUACAGAGGGUGCAAGCGUUAAUCGGAGUUACUGGGCGUAAAGGGCGCGUAGGUGGUUGUGUAAGUUGGAUGUGAAAUCCCUGGGCUUAACCUAGGAACUGCAUUCAAAACUGCAUAGCUAGAGUAUUGUAGAGGGUAGUGGAAUUUCCGGUGUAGCGGUGAAAUGCGUAGAGAUCGGAAGGAACACCAGUGGCGAAGGCGGCUACCUGGACAAAUACUGACACUGAGGCGCGAGAGCGUGGGGAGCAAACAGG